Long non-coding RNA from Oncorhynchus tshawytscha (Chinook salmon), 476 nucleotides. Lineage: Eukaryota; Metazoa; Chordata; Actinopteri; Salmoniformes; Salmonidae. The record is from Ensembl.
UCACUGGAGGUAGUAAGGUAGUGAUAGGGGAGGGGAGGUCACUGGAGGUAGUGAUAGGGGAGGGGAGGUCACUGGAGGUAGUGAUAGGGGAGGGGAGGUCACUGGAGGUAGUGAUCGGGGAGGGGAGGUCACUGGAGGUAGUAAGGUAGUGAUAGGGGAGGGGAGGUCACUGGAGGUAGUGAUAGGGGAGGGGAGGUCACUGGAGGUAGUGAUAGGGGAGGGGAGGUCACUGGAGGUAGUGAUAGGGGAGGGGAGGUCACUGGAGGUAGUAAGGUAGUGAUAGGGGAGGGGAGGUCACUGGAGGUAGUGUGAGGGGGAAUGAGAAACAACACAACCUAUGCCUCAGCCAUCCUAUUCGUAUCCACACUGACUGGGUAUAAACCUGGCAGAAAUAAUAAGCAGGAAUACAAUAUACAUUACCAUUACCCAUUAUUGUUACGAUAUACAUUACCCAUUAUUGUUACGAUAUACAUUAC